Lolium rigidum is the source of this 1485-nucleotide long non-coding RNA. RefSeq lists it as uncharacterized. Lineage: Eukaryota; Viridiplantae; Streptophyta; Magnoliopsida; Poales; Poaceae. The record is from RefSeq and is a predicted model, not a curated record. The transcript is spliced from 3 exons.
UUCCUUUCUGAGGUAAAAUUGUAUUCUAUUUGUGAACACUCGUGGAUAUUCUAUUUAUGUCAGAUUAUCUUUGUCUCAUUAUUCUUCAUGAUUCCAUGUAGUCUAGCUUGGAUUUUAUGGUUUUUGUUUUGUAUCAGGUAUCAAAUCCUCUCUGAGUUCAUCAACUGCAUGGAAAGCUAUCCAUUUGAUCAAAUAAAUUCAAUCAAGCCAACUGUUCUAAUGCCAUCAUUUUCUUCUUUUGAGCAGCAACUUGUUGUGUUAUCACAUAUGUCACCUUACGUUAAAAUAAGGUUCUCACAUGAAUAUAUAUGCAUUUAACAAUUACUUAAUCAAAUUCAGCGAUCUAAUGGUAAAGGAGACACUGCUCUUCUAUGUUUUGUUCAUGAAACAAUCAGUGCGCAAUUCUGCCAACACUGUUAGCUCAUUUUUAAAUCUCGAAGCUUCUGAAAGACUUCUAAUUUUUAUAGAAUGAUGUCCUACGUGAGUAAGUUUUUAUGGAGGAACUCUGUAAAAUAAUGCACCAAAACAAAAAAUUCUCUUUACUACAUGUAGACUAAUUCCAGUGUUUCAGUGUCAUUGGAAGAUUAGUAUUUCAGUGUCAACUUUCGAGCAUAAUCUCUCUAAAGAUAAUUUAUUUGAUUAAUCCAGGCAUUAUGAAUCACUCUUGUGAUGGUACUUUGGCCCCUUGGUCCUGGCCGUGACAUUGACUACGACGGGGAUGAUUAUAUUGUGCCUGCGAGGUUGCCUCUCCUAUGAAACCAGACCUUUUGAACCUAACUUACUUCGCUGGAGAUAUUCGUGUACUGUGUGAAUCUUAUAUGAAGUUAGAUGCUUCCCGGCAAGUUUUUCUUCCUUCUUCACAGAGCACCAAUAUGUUCUAAGCUCUGAUUGUUGAGGGUCACAUCGAAUCUUCAGCUGCAGCUGAGCCGAGGGUGCAGUACCACAUAUUCUGAUCGUUUACCAAGUGUGGUGUACUAUACUCUUCAGUUCUUCAGAAAUUUUUGAACUCGAGUGAGAUUCUCCGACGAAAAAAGUUAAGGAGACAAUGCUCAGUAUCUACUUCGAUCUCAAUUAUAAAGACAACAUAAUUGUGUGUUGUCAAGUCCAAACCUCUUGAGAUUGAUUUUAUUGUCAUGCAAUACUUAAGGAUCAAGGUUUUUGGUUGAUACAUUAAAAUUCCGCUCUUUUGCUUAUGGUGACAUCCCAUUGUAAAUGGAUCAUUAGGUUUGUUAUGUGCACUACCAUGACCUCCAUCGAUAAUGCUACCAUCUCAUACAAAUUUACUAUUGUCAGUCGAGUUAUGCACAUAGAUCGGCAACAAAGGUGGAGUGUUGGAGCUGAAGGUUGAUGUGAGUGGCACACACAAGAGAAAUGAAUGGAAAUGGAGGCAAAUCUGUUAGGAAUAUAUACAUUAUUUUUAAUUCAGGUUAGCGCUAGAGUGACUGGAGCUAGGUAAUGUUGAGCCGCAUCACCUGCUAUAUAUAU